This 279-nucleotide ribosomal RNA is filed under the name uncultured bacterium. Its description in RNAcentral is "partial 16S ribosomal RNA". It matches the Rfam family "Bacterial small subunit ribosomal RNA", at positions 506 to 784 of the family's 1533-position model. The record is from RNAcentral.
UGCCAGCAGCCGCGGUAAUAUGGAGGGGGCUAGCGUUGUUCAGAAUUACUGGGCGUAAAGCGCGCGUAGGCGGUUUGAUAAGUUAGGCGUGAAAGCCCGGAGCUCAACUUCGGAAUAGCGCUUAAAACUAUCAGGCUAGAGACCGAGAGAGGUGAGUGGAACUCCAAGUGUAGAGGUGAAAUUCGUAGAUAUUGGGAAGAACACCAGUGGCGAAGGCGGCUCACUGGAUCGGUACUGACGCUGAGGUGCGAAGGCGUGGGGAGCAAACGGGAUUAGAUA